This 254-nucleotide ribosomal RNA is filed under the name uncultured bacterium. RNAcentral describes it as "partial 16S ribosomal RNA". It matches the Rfam family "Bacterial small subunit ribosomal RNA", at positions 524 to 776 of the family's 1533-position model. The record is from RNAcentral.
UACGUAGGUGGCAAGCGAUACUCGGAAUCACUAGGCGUAAAGCGCAGGUAGGCGGUUUGGUAAGUCUCUUGUGAAAGCUCCCGGCUUAACUGGGAGAGGUCAAGGGAAACUACCAGGCUAGAGUGCGGAAGAGGCGAGUGGAAUUCCUGGUGUAGCGGUGAAAUGCGCAGAUAUCAGGAGGAACACCAAUUGCGAAGGCAGCUCGCUGGGACGUUACUGACGCUGGAGACGCGAAAGCGUGGGGAGCGAACAGG